GCUGGCGGCGUGCCUAAUACAUGCAAGUCGAGCGAACGGACGAGAAGCUUGCUUCUCUGAUGCUAGCGGCGGACGGGUGAGAAACACGUGGAUAACCUACCUAUAAGACUGGGAUAACUUCGGGAAACCGGAGCUAAUACCGGAUAAUAUUUUGAACCGCAUGGUUCAAAAGUGAAAGGCGGUCUUGCUGUCACUUAUAGAUGGAUCCGCGCUGCAUUAGCUAGUUGGUAAGGUAACGGCUUACCAAGGCAACGAUGCAUAGCCGACCUGAGAGGGUGGUCGGCCACACUGGAACUGAGACACGGUCCAGACUCCUACGGGAGGCAGCAGUAGGGAAUCUUCCGCAAUGGGCGAAAGCCUGACGGAGCAACGCCGCGUGAGUGAUGAAGGUCUUCGGAUCGUAAAACUCUGUUAUUAGGGAAGAACAUAUGUGUAAGUAACUGUGCACAUCUUGACGGUACCUAAUCAGAAAGCCACGGCUAACUACGUGCCAGCAGCCGCGGUAAUACGUAGGUGGCAAGCGUUAUCCGGAAUUAUUGGGCGUAAAGCGCGCGUAGGCGGUUUUUUAAGUCUGAUGUGAAAGCCCACGGCUCAACCGUGGAGGGUCAUUGGAAACUGGAAAACUUGAGUGCAGAAGAGGAAAGUGGAAUUCCAUGUGUAGCGGUGAAAUGCGCAGAGAUAUGGAGGAACACCAGUGGCGAAGGCGACUUUCUGGUCUGUAACUGACGCUGAUGUGCGAAAGC
Molecule: ribosomal RNA, 743 nt
Filed under: uncultured bacterium
Lineage: Bacteria
Description: bacterial SSU rRNA
Rfam family: Bacterial small subunit ribosomal RNA
Source: RNAcentral